CGGAGAAAUAAGGAAAUGUAAAUACAAAUAGAAGUGUUGAGUUGUUCAAUUAUAUAUAAGAUUAAUAUAUAAGAUUAGACACAGCCAGAGUGCAACGUGUGUAUUUUUGAGUUUAUUUGGGCUAGUGCUGGCAUUCAUACCGCCAGGGGGAAAUACUCUUACGUUGGCCGAGUUUUUCACGCCCUUUUGUUUAUUACCAUGCUUCCAAAGCAAACAACAGAUCUGCUGCCCAGCGAACUGUGCAAUCAAGUAAGUUGUUAACGUAAGAUCCAAUCGUAGUGACGGAUUAAAUUCUGGGAAACGGACUGAAAUUGCCCCAGUUUUUAUUGGCACGCAGGCAGGGCCUGUGGAAAUUGCCCUGACCAGAAGCAGGCUGCAGUCUAAUGUGUCAUCUGGUCUUUUGUGCGUUUCUUCUAGCUUAGGGAUUUGCAGCACAGGGAAGUCUAAAAACAAACGGGUGGUUUUUAAAGGAGACAUUGACUGUAGGUGUCCAGAAGGGAUUGUUGCAGAAAUCAGAAGGGCCGAGGUUCCCAUGCUUCGCCUCUUGUUUUCUGGGGCCUCCUGUCUUUGGUUUUUAUGCCUGUCUGUUUUCCAGAAAACGUAGACUUUUCCCCAUUCCCUCCACAAACACAGAAUUCCAGGCUCUGCACAAAACUUCAAGCAAGGUACACAGGCGACGAAUAUGUGCAAUUUUAGGUGGUGUCAUCCCAGCUUUAGAACGGGGGGGGGGGGGGGAUGUUUUAAAUUCCGGAUCUAAGCCGCUGUUUCUAGAACAGGUCUGUCCGUGAAGCAGUCGAUUGUUCUUAUGGGUUUUAACAGCCAUUCUUUAUGUCUUCUCCUUGAAAUCAGUGGCAAAACUCUAUAUGGUGCGUGAUGUAGGUCCAAAGUGUCUGCUUUGCCAAAGAGUAAUGGGGGGGGGGGGGGAGAAAUAGCGUAAAAUAGUUCUCAGACUACAUAGAAGGGGGCCGGUUUGGAACUGGGCUUUCAGCCGCCUCUUCUCUGUAUUGAAGCAGUGCAUACGGAUACAGGACUCUUGUACUUAAAAGUACUACGUUACUGCUAAAUUAUCAUCUUUAAUUGUCCUUCUGUUCUGCAGUAGAACUAUGACAUCACAAACAAUGCUGUUACGAUUAGGGAUGUUUAUAGUAUUCUUCUGGUCGGACAUUGGGGGCUUCCAGUUCAUCUGAUCUUUGCAGAACCGCACCCAAGAUGUUGAUGAUCCAUCCAUCCUCCAUCAUUCCUUUGUGUAUUUUGUUUGUCACAAAGUGCAGGCGCUAUUUGCCACCAUUUUCCCCCUCUCCCCUGCCAGCAUUGGUUAUCAAGAGCACACGAGCAUUGCGUGCGUUGGUUCAAGCAUGCAGAAAGAAAUUUUGAUGCGAUAGCACAAUGCACUGGGCUGCGUUGAGCGUCGCAAAAAAUAACCCCUCGGUGACAGGUGAGGCUGUGCCGCGAGAUUGCAUUUUGUUCAGCAUUCUGUGUCCACAGGUAAGGAGCGGAAGAGAGGGCAGGUUGAGAAUCGGGCAAGCUGCAAUUCAAACAAAUGUGAAACUAGUUUUAGCAUUUUUUCAGGCUAAUCUGGAGAGGAUGGCUGAGCAGAAUGUGAAGGCAGAGCCAAAACCCAGUCAAGUUGAAAUGUAAUAGGAAGACGUGUUCACGAAGAGUUUCUGUCUAACUCCCUUAGCUGGAGACAACGAUAGAGAAAAAUGGGAUUCCAUUACAGCUCAGGUGUUAGUACACCUUGUGAGAGAGGAAGGGAGAAGGUGCGCAUGUGAUGCCCUCUAUAGCGACAUCCCUACCCAAAGACUGCUGUAGUCAGAGCAGAUGGAAAGAACUACGUGCCUCCAGAGGUGUUGCUUGAUUGGGGCGGGUGUGGGGGAGGGAUCUGAGAAACUCCCGUGGAGAACUCUCCCUACAGUGGAUUCCAUGGCUGGUGUUUACAUUAACCACAAAAAUAAAACUUGAAGUUCAGAAUCGUGAAUUACUGCCAUGCUCAAGUAAACGGUGACCUUAUUUCCUGAGAACUAGAAGCUGGCUGGACUGCAUUCCGAGCAUCAUUCAAACUAAUCAUCUAAUUAGUAUUUAAUGACUUAUGGCAACUACAUCUGCUCUAUUUGGAAGGAGUGGUUGAAAGUUAGAUUUUCCGCUCUUGUUGUAAUUGCUAGUAAUUGGAACCCUGUAUGUGGUGGCUCUGCUCCUGUGAGGUUAUCUCGCCAAAGGUUCGCCACCACGGGGCUAAGGGAAAGCACGGGGUAUCUCUCUGAGCUCUCUUGCGUUCCUCCAAAAAAAAGCCCUCUCUUCAAAUUACCCACAGAGUACCUGCUUUGCUCCUACAGAGGAGUAACGAAGGACAGAGAUGUGUAUGAGAGAAGACAGCAUUAAAUAGAGCCUGAAACAGAAAAUCCAGACUCUAUUUGCACUGUGGUGCUUGCCUUCUCACUACUGCCUGGCAAAAUUUCUGACUAAGGCUUUCAGGAUUAAUAUGCAGCCAUUAGCUAAUAAACUGCAAAUAAACCUUUACUUAAUUGAGUUUGAGUAUAGUACUUGAUGGUUCCCCUCCUUGUUGGCAUACCAUCUCCCUUCCUUUCAAGCUAAUACAGUAUAUGCACUGCCUACAGAUAAAACUCUAGGACACAGGUGUCAGACUCGUGGUCCUCCAGAUGAUAUGGACUACAAUUCCCAUCACCCCCUGCCAGCACCAUGCUGGCAGGGGCUGAUGAGAACUGUAGUCCAUAGCAUGUGGAGGGCCGCGAGUUUGACACCUGUGCUGGAAGUUGUGCUCCUUUUUAAUUUGACUGAACAGGAGCAAGUCCUGAUCAGCAAUUCCAAAACAAAAUUACGGCCACAAAGGAUAGGUGUUCUGUUCAGGCUUCCAUUCCAGUUGCAUCACACAAAUGCAGAUAGGCUGAAGGAACGAAUUCACACGCUGUGACUUGUAUGUUGCCUGCUGUUAUUACUGGAUAACAGUGCUAUUAAAACACUAAAACAUUAAAACACAGAUUCCCAGCCUAAUGCAUGAUACACAUAUGAUCAAAUAUAACAAUUUUUAAUAACGUAUGAACUCAUCCAGAAUCUAUCUGUAGCAAGGGGUUAGUAAAAAGUUAGUAAUUUUUUUUGGUGAGGGGGGUGGUUUAAAGAAGAAAAAACAGGGUAUAAGUUCAAAGAUACAUCAAGGAUAGCUUAGAAGUACUAAGUGUUUUUUUUCCUUAGUCUGCAACUGCCAUGGUAGUCUUUACCAGGACGUCUCAAAGGGAAUCUUUUCAUUUGGUUAUUGCAUUCUGUCCAAAAACGCAGUUCUGUCUUAACCCAUAAUUUUACAGCAAGGCUGCUUUCUCCAAAGAAAACCCUCCAAAGCUUGUAAUUUCCUUAGCAUAACCUUACUGAGGGAUAUCUACCAAAAGAAUAGUUUCUUUCACAUGGGCAGCCGUAUCCUUGGCUUCAUUACUGUCCACUUGUGAGCUGGCAGCUCAUUGGUUGAGCUGGCUGCGUUGGAAAAACUCAUGUUGGCAGUAAAAUGCCAAUUCCUCCUGUGGUGGCUCACCUUUGCCCGCAAGUCGUCACUUGAUGGCAUCAUCUAGUGUUGAGCAUGCCUGUGCGAGUCGGGUUUUAAAAGAUGUGCCUCAACCGCCUUCCUUUGUUCGCCCCUAAAAACGCAGCAUGACUUACGCAGAGCUGCGGAACACUUUUUUAAAAAUUCUUUUUUAACACAGAGGUUUCUAGAACUCCAGUUUAGUACCAUCAACCAAAAGCAAAUUCUCUAAUCCGCUUAUCCUGUUAAAAGUUCGUCACAUUAAAGAAAAAGAAAAAAAAUCAGCAGGUACCUUUUUCUGGAAUUUCAUUCUUGACUAUCUAGUGAGAAGAGCUGGGAAUUGAGAUGGCCUUAAAAGCAUUCUCCAUAGAUGCUGAAAAUAGGUAGCUGGUUGAAAUAAUCCCUCCACCCGUACACACCCUUCAGCAGCUUACUUACGCGUUGAAAAGCCAUAAAUAUCUUGGGCAUAACUCCUCUAAGAGAAGCCCGGGUCCCAAUGAGCACAGACUGUGUCUGCUUACCACUUCUGCUUGGCUUAGUAAUUUAUAGACACGCUUUUUGAAUCUCUGUUCUACCUUUAUUAAGGCCAAACUGCUUCUGCCUUUUUGGGACUAGCUAGCCUUGCCCUGUCCAAAUGGCAAUCGCUGACAGCUGGUUCAGCCCCACGGAACGCUACAGCAGUGUUUGGAAGGGGGGGCUCUUCCGUGGGCUCGGGCAUCAGCCCCGUGACUGGGACAGAGCUUUUCAUGUCAUUAAAAACCUUACAGAUGAUCGCUUGAGUUGGGGAGUAGUGUUCGGAGGCACGUUUUUCAUUCAUUGUGCUGGCGAAUGUUGUUUUUUACCCUGUGCGCGCUGGGUUGCCGUGAGCGAUUAAUUGAAGAGGGGCCCUGGCUCAUAAUUAUGACUUAAGACAUCAGGCUGUCAGCGGCGCGGUUUCUGAUGACCACUGGCCUGGGGGGUGACUCUGCUGAUAUAGCCAAUCUGUCUUUUAAAUGUUGCUAUUCAUAGGGGAUGUUGACCUGUCAACCUGCUUCUAGUCACUUUCCUAAAAUUUAUAAUUAUUUUUCUUUUCUUUUGAAAUAUUAAAAGGGCAAGAAAUCAGCCUUGUGGACUGGGAAAGCGUCCAGCUCUCUCUGAGCUGGUAUCCUGCAUAUAUAAUUUUUAAAGGUUUAAAAAGACUAUUGUAUAUAAAAAAUAAAGAAUGUCUUUAAAAGAAAAA
Sphaerodactylus townsendi is the source of this 4745-nucleotide long non-coding RNA. RefSeq lists it as uncharacterized. NCBI's taxonomy places the organism in Eukaryota, Metazoa, Chordata, Lepidosauria, Squamata, Sphaerodactylidae. The record is from RefSeq and is a predicted model, not a curated record. The transcript is spliced from 2 exons.